RNAcentral lists this long non-coding RNA (1921 nucleotides) under Aotus nancymaae (Ma's night monkey). Its description in RNAcentral is "lncRNA (ENSANAG00000039228.1)". Lineage: Eukaryota; Metazoa; Chordata; Mammalia; Primates; Aotidae. The record is from RNAcentral.
GUUUAUGCUGGCUCAGAAAAUUCCACCCACUUCUCAGUAAACUCGACCUAGGAAUCUGCUGUCCAACAGUGGUCAAUACCACAAUCUUUAUGGGGAGACGGCAAAUGCAGCCCGUUUGCAGGGCUAGUCACCAGGGCCUGAGGAGAAGAGGAUGGAGUCCCAAAAGAGGUUUGCCUGCUUCUCUCCCAGACCACGGCCCUAGGGAAUCUGUUUCAGCAGUGUAGCUCAUGCAUCUCGGCCCAGAUUCCUAACAUCUGUCCAGCUGUGUGGUCGCCAGGGCCUCCAGCUGCCAGUCAGAUGGGAACUUGAAAGCGACGUGACCUUUAGAUAAAUAAAGCAAGAACUGAGGAAAAAAAAAAAAGAGCUGAGGUAAUAGCAAACAUUGGGCAAAUAUUUGCCAGAGAAACCGUGUUUGAACUUUCCCCUGUGGUGUAGGUCCAGGUUUGCUAGCACAGCCUGACCUUGGCAACCUUGCCCUCGACUUGUUGUUUUGACAUAAUUCGUUUUAGCACAUAGGUUUUCCAUGGGUUCCAUUUGUCAGUAAGUGAGCUCAUGACCUCAGAGCAUUCUAUUUGGGGCUCCUCUGCAGGAAGCCCAGCAUGGCUCCAGGGCAGGCUUCUCCACGUCAUCAUGUAACCUGGGAUUCCAGUACGUGAUACUUUUUGCUUCUUAGAUUGGUUGCUUUUUCUUACAUUGUUGGCCUCGGGGCAGUUUUCAAUGGCUGUCUUGUAAUAUGACCAGCUUUGAAUCUUCCUUUCGCCAUCCUGAGAAGCAGUGCAUGCUGAGAUCGGAGCCACUCUUCAUCAGAAGGUUCAAAGAACUGGUCACCAGCUGGACUGAAGGACGUGGCACUGUCCCCCUCUUCUCCUUCCAUGGGACUGGAGCCCAGUCUCACUGCCCAGCUGAGAGACAGCGCCCACAUGGGUACUCCUGGACCUCCAGAGGGCACCCCCUGCAGACUCACUCCCAGCCCUGACUCAUUCCUCAGUUCUCCUUGAAGAUCAGCAUCAGCAAGUCCUGGCUCAGUCUCUCCCCGGGGCUUACCCUAUUGAAAUGCUCCCCUGGGCACUCACCUUGGCCACAGGUGCCAGGAGCGGACAGCAGCAAAGACAGUGGAGCCCCUCCUGGGCUUCAGCUGUCUGUUUCUUAAAGUAGCUUAAAUUACAUGCACUUCACAGUCCAAGAAUUAAUGUUUUUCAAUUAAAAAAUAUUUUUAGAGAGUUGUAGGUUCACAUGCAAUAGUAAGAAAUAAUACAGAGAUUCUCCAGUUUCCCGCAGCAGUAACAUCUUACAUAAGAAUAGUUUUCAUAACCAGAAAUUAACAUUGAUCCAAUCAGCGACUUUAUUCAGAUUUCACCAGUUUCACACUCAUUCGUGUGUGUGUGUUUGUGUGUGUGUGUGGUUCCAUGCAGUUUUAUCACGUGUCCAGUCAUGCGACUCCACAGUCGAGGUACAGAGCAGUUCCAUCACCAGGAGGGUUCCUGGUGUUACCUUUCUAAUUGUUCUCUUCUCAGCCAGGUGUGUGCAGGUGAUACCUGAGAGGCACUGAGUACGACUGCAUCAUGGUCAAUGGUGUCAGCAUGUGGUCUGUACCCAAUGUUUGUAUCCUCCGACUUCAGAUGUUAAAAUCCUAAUGCCCAAAGUGAUGGUAUUUGGUGGUGGGGCCAUUGGGAAAUGAUUAGAUCAAGAGAGAAGAGUCCUCAUGAAUGAGAUUAGUGCCCUUAUAAAAGGGACCCCAGGGGACUUGGUCACAUCUUCCACCAUGUGGGGACACAGCGAGAAGGCGCCAGCUAUGAACCAGGGAGCAGAUCCUCAACAGACACCAAACUGCUGGUGUCUUUGCCUUGGACUUUCCAAUCUCCAGAACAGUGAAAAAUAAAUGUUUGCUGUCUAAGCCUCCCAGUCUCUGAUAGUUUUGUUA